RNAcentral lists this ribosomal RNA (428 nucleotides) under Bacteroidota bacterium. RNAcentral's name for it is "Bacteroidetes bacterium partial 16S ribosomal RNA". It matches the Rfam family "Bacterial small subunit ribosomal RNA", at positions 355 to 776 of the family's 1533-position model. Lineage: Bacteria; Pseudomonadati; Bacteroidota. The record is from RNAcentral.
UAGGGAAUCUUCCGCAAUGGACGCAAGUCUGACGGAGCAACGCCGCGUUAGUGAAGAAGGAUUUCGGUUCGUAAAACUCUGUUGUUAGAGAAGAACAGCGCAUAGAGUAACUGUUAUGCGUGUGACGGUAUCUAACCGGAAAGCCACGGCUAACUACGUGCCAGCAGCCGCGGUAAUACGUAGGUCCCGAGCGUUGUCCGGAUUUAUUGGGCGUAAAGCGCGCGCAGGCGGUUAGAAAAGUCUGAAGUGAAAGGCAGUGGCUCAACCAUUGUAAGCUUUGGAAACUGUUUAACUUGAGUGCGGAAAGGAAGAGUGGAAUUCCAUGUGUAGCGUUGAAAUGCGUAGAUAUAUGGAGGAACACCGGUAGCGAAAGCGGCUCUCUGGUCUGUAACUGACGCUGAGGCUCGAAAGCGUGGGGAGCGAACAGG